RNAcentral lists this ribosomal RNA (552 nucleotides) under Salmonella enterica subsp. enterica serovar Newport. Its description in RNAcentral is "partial 23S ribosomal RNA". It matches the Rfam family "Bacterial large subunit ribosomal RNA", at positions 2391 to 2925 of the family's 2925-position model. The record is from RNAcentral. Lineage: Bacteria; Pseudomonadati; Pseudomonadota; Gammaproteobacteria; Enterobacterales; Enterobacteriaceae.
GAGCAGGUGCGAAAGCAGGUCAUAGUGAUCCGGUGGUUCUGAAUGGAAGGGCCAUCGCUCAACGGAUAAAAGGUACUCCGGGGAUAACAGGCUGAUACCGCCCAAGAGUUCAUAUCGACGGCGGUGUUUGGCACCUCGAUGUCGGCUCAUCACAUCCUGGGGCUGAAGUAGGUCCCAAGGGUAUGGCUGUUCGCCAUUUAAAGUGGUACGCGAGCUGGGUUUAGAACGUCGUGAGACAGUUCGGUCCCUAUCUGCCGUGGGCGCUGGAGAACUGAGGGGGGCUGCUCCUAGUACGAGAGGACCGGAGUGGACGCAUCACUGGUGUUCGGGUUGUCAUGCCAAUGGCACUGCCCGGUAGCUAAAUGCGGAAGAGAUAAGUGCUGAAAGCAUCUAAGCACGAAACUUGCCCCGAGAUGAGUUCUCCCUGAGACUUAAAGUCUCCUGAAGGAACGUUGAAGACGACGACGUUGAUAGGCCGGGUGUGUAAGCGCAGCGAUGCGUUGAGCUAACCGGUACUAAUGAACCGUGAGGCUUAACCUUACAACGCCGAAG